Molecule: ribosomal RNA, 461 nt
Filed under: uncultured bacterium
Lineage: Bacteria
Description: partial 16S ribosomal RNA
Rfam family: Bacterial small subunit ribosomal RNA
Source: RNAcentral
CCUACGGGUGGCAGCAGUGAGGAAUAUUGGUCAAUGGGCGCAAGCCUGAACCAGCCAAGUCGCGUGAGGGAUGACGGUCCUAUGGAUUGUAAACCUCUUUUGUCGGGGAGCAAGGUCCGCCACGUGUGGCGGGAAGGAGAGUACCCGAAGAAAAAGCAUCGGCGAACUCCGUGCCAGCAGCCGCGGUAAUACGGAGGGUGCGAGCGUUAUCCGGAUUUAUUGGGUUUAAAGGGAGCGUAGAUGGGUUGUUAAGUCAGUUGUGAAAGUUUGCGGCUCAACCGUAAAAUUGCAAUUGAUACUGGCAGCCUUGAGUACAGUUGAGGUAGGCGGAAUUCGUGGUGUAGCAGUGAAAUGCUUAGAUAUCACGAAGAACUCCGAUUGCGAAGGCAGCUUACUAAACUGCCACUGACAUUGAUGCUCGAAGGUGUGGGUAUCAAACAGGAUUAGAUACCCCAGUAGUC